GCGCCGCUCGGCCCGCCCCCACGGUGGCCGAGGCCCCGGACAUGCGCAGAAGGUGCUUUCCGCCUUCGCCGCCGUGGUGGCGUCUUCUCCGCAGGUGGCGGGUUUAGGGCGGUGGGAACACUCGCCCGCGUGGGAACGCACGCUGAGCAGUGCUCUUUUCCUCCACACUGGGCAGGGCCGCUUCUGGAUCUUUCUCCGCUGCAGCCGGGCGACGUGGUCCUGCUGGUACCUGCUGGGCUCUUAGUAAGCGUUCCUGCAAGAGGUGGGUGGGGGUGAGCCUGCACUUGUCCGGGGUGGCUCAGAGUUCAGGCGCUGGAAGGGAGCCCCCGCAGCUUCCCCUCGGAGGUCGGCCCCAGGCGCCGCAAGUCUCUCCCACCGCCAGAGAUAGCUCUUUGCCCGUGUUCUUCUGUUCAUGGAGUUCGAACAAGGUUAUGGUCAUCCCAACUUGCAGCACAAUACCUGGCAAGAAGUCAGUGCUCAAUCAAUAUUUGCUAAGUACAUGAAUGGAACGAGUAACUGUCUUAAAGGAGCAGCUACUGUUACAGAAGAGUGAAGGCGUAGGAAACUUGGAGAAUGCUGGCCCUGACCCCACCUCCUGUAUGACUCAAGGAUGAAUUUAUACCCAAAAUCAAAGGCAGCUGCUGUAUUCACGGAGGGGUUGCUGCUGGGCAGUAACCACAGUGGAAGCAGGAGACUUCCCAAGGUUUCUGAAAAUGAAUCUGUGAACAUCUUUAUUAGACUAAUCUAGUUGGCACAGUGGAAGUCCAUAUGCGUGGUCUGGGGUGUUUUUCAAGCAUGCCAGUGAGGUUACGGUUUCUCUCCUGGGCAGGAUAGUAAUACUAGGACCAUAGAGAUCCUAGGCAGGGGCCAGUCAUCACUAGGCUCGUGAAUAAAUUCAACUUCCUUUACAGUCGUCAUUUACAUCUUAGAAAAUACUCCAUGACACACAUUCUAACAUAAAAUUAACUAUAAUACACCUAUUUGAACUGACCUUGAAGUUUGCCUUCGUGUUAUAAGUUACAACCUAGAGAAGUAAGUACAAUUUUUGAAAAACCGUGGAGACUGAAUAACAGAGAUUUAAGGGAUUUUAUGCAUUAUAUCACAAGAUGCGGAGCAUGCAUAAAUGAAAACUUACAGAACUGUGCUUGAUCAUCAGACGUAAACACAGCCUAGUCAUUCUGAUCUUUUUGAGGUGAUGAACCAUGUGCCUCACGCUCUGAAUUCUUGCAGUACUUGUGCCAACAAGAUUUAUUUGCCUAAAGAUCUUUUUCUCAGCAAAGUCCAGGAUAACCCAAGCCUUUUCUUUGUAAUUUUAAUCCAGUCUGAGUUGAAAUGGUGUUAAGCUUAUUUUUAUUUUCACAACUUUCCCUUUUGUGGCCCCUCUGGUGCUACUUCAGUUCAUCUUGUGUGGGCUAUCAGAUGUUAAUGCAGGUCCAUGAACGUGUUGUCUGAGGCCUCUUUACCCGUCAUUACUCUUACAUAUAUGUGUAAACUAUUUCAGCAUUAAUAUGAUGUGUUGAUAUUUUACUAUCUAAUGUUCUUAGUAUAUUACCCCAAACCCACAACUCAAAUUUCAGUUCUGUAUAAUUUGGGGUUUUUUUUAAUUUGUUAAUGUAGCUACUAAAGUUGUAACCAAGUUUUUACCUCUCUGAAAUUUACAAAACGAUGAGGGCAUAUUCAUCGUUUACAGCUUGGAUAAAAUUGGAGAGCCCUUAGGUUUUGUCCCAUUUCCCUUGGUGAUUUUCUCGAAGGAGUCAGCUGUGUUGAUAGUAGCUGUAGUUAGUAACUGUUUUAGUAACUGUAUCCAUUUUCUGUUGUCAUAAUAAUACAUAGUAAAUACAUAACAAGUACUAUAUAACAACAAAUUGUGUAGCCUAAAACAGUAAUAAUUUACUUAGCUCACAAUUCUGCGGGUUGGCCAUUUGGGCUGGUCUUAGUUGGCUGUCUUUGCUCAUGUGUCUGUGGCCUGCCACCUGGUUGGAAGAGAACUAGCCAGUCUAGGAUGGCCUGGGACAACUUGUCUCCACUCCAUGUCAUCCUCCAGGAGGGUACUGGGGCUUACCUACAUGGUAGGCACAGUCAGGAAAAAACCCACGGGACUUGUGAGGUCCAGGUGUGGAACCAGUGUACUGUUUCUUCUGACACACCCUAUUGGCCAACGCAAGACACAAGGGCAACAAGAUCCAAAGGUGGGGGAAAUAAACCCCCUCUUGGUGAAAGGAGCAUCAAAGUUGCAUUACAGAGGGCCUGGGUAAAGGGAGGGGUGGAGAAUUGAGGCCAUUUUUGUGGUCAAAUCUACUACAAUCCAUCCUUUGGCCCCAAUUAUUCACAUUUCUCCACCAAAAAAAAACCUCACUUCCUCCCAAGAUCCCCAGAAGUCUCACCCAAUCCCAGUACCAGGCUCAAAGUGCAGGGUCUCAUGAUCUAUACUAGGUUGAAUGUGGCUCCUCAGGUGCGGUUCCUCUUGAUCCACAGAUGGAUAAACUAAAAAUAUCAAUUGUCUGCCCCCCACACAGCAUACACUGGUCAAAGGGGAAAGGACCACCACAGUGAAUACUUCCAUUUGAAAAGGAAAAGAAUGGGGGUCCCUGGGUGGCACAGUCGGUUAGGCGUCCGACUCUUGGUUUCGGCUCAGGUUGUGAUCUCAGGGUGGUAGGAUCAAGCCCCGCGUUGGACUCCACACUCAGCAUGGAGUCUGCUUGGGAUUCUCUCUCCCUCUCCCUCUGCCACUCCAGCCUGUGCACGCACGCGCUCUCUCUCUAAAAAAAAUAAAUAGAUCUUUAGAAGAAAAGAAAAAAGGAAGAAUGGGUGCACAGAGCAAUCACUGGUGCAGAGCAAUUCCUAAAUCCAUAGGGAGAAUGUUCACAGGACCAUAGGACAAGGGAGUGCUCCCCGAUGAGGCUGAGUUCUGCCUGCUGGGAAUAUUCCCCAGGCUGUACCCCAGCGCGACUCUUACCUCUGCCCUCCUGGAGAUCCCUCCUUUUCCAGCGCCUCUU
Long non-coding RNA from Mirounga angustirostris (Northern elephant seal), 2996 nucleotides. RefSeq lists it as uncharacterized. The transcript has 2 exons. The record is from RefSeq and is a predicted model, not a curated record. NCBI's taxonomy places the organism in Eukaryota, Metazoa, Chordata, Mammalia, Carnivora, Phocidae.